CUUUCUCUUCUCCUGCCCGGAGACUGUUCAGGUGGGUGAGCAUAUGGUAUAAAUGUCUUUCAAAACACAACUGAAAUCUCCUCCCUCCGUCUCUUUCACCGCAGCCGCCUUGGCGCUUUAUGGCAAAUUGACGG
This is a long non-coding RNA of Neotoma lepida (desert woodrat), 134 nucleotides long. The record is from Rfam. Lineage: Eukaryota; Metazoa; Chordata; Mammalia; Rodentia; Cricetidae.